Long non-coding RNA from Pogoniulus pusillus (Red-fronted tinkerbird), 683 nucleotides. RefSeq lists it as uncharacterized. The transcript has 5 exons. NCBI's taxonomy places the organism in Eukaryota, Metazoa, Chordata, Aves, Piciformes, Lybiidae. The record is from RefSeq and is a predicted model, not a curated record.
AGUUUGCUAAGAAGGGAGCUUUCUCAUACAGCCUGCUUUGCUCUCCUUUCCUGCUCUUGAGGAUUGCCUUGUGACUACUGCACUCCUGCAACCGAACGUAAGGCACAACCCAAACAGAAUUCGAGAGACGAGACAGAAGAGCGCGGCAGAGCUGCCUGCAGAACCAGCCACAUAUUAUGUUUGUUUCUGUGGACCACUCAUUUUUCAACCCAAACCAGUGGAAAUGGAGUUUGAAAUAAAUGAGUAUCCAGAAUGGAGCAGCUAUGUCUCUAAAGGCUAAGUUUAUGGCCUGUAAAUAAGGUCGUGCUGGAAUAGGUGCACCUCAGAACAAGUGUGGCUGUGCCUAAGUCUAUGCUGCAGCAGGUGUUUCUCUGAAGAGACUGUCCCCCAUAGGGAAUCAGUAUUGUACACAGACAACUCAACCCCUCUUAGUAUUACAAACUGGUUCUUAAACUGUGGUCAGCAAGAGAGGCAGAACUCUGUGACGGCAGUCUGCACAGUGUGCUACAUUCUUCGUUUAGCCGACUGGGUGGCUACAACCUUCAGGUUCUGCACUCCAGACGUGGUAUAGGAUGAAUGCCUUCGAAAGGAUCAGAUAGAGUGAUCCCACAAUAAAACUGACACCUCGUCAAACACAUGCACUGCCCAAUGCCAUCACUGCUACUUAAACCGGGGAGAUCCAU